AUUGAACGCUGGCGGCAUGCCUUACACAUGCAAGUCGAACGGUUACGGGCCUUUUGCUCCUGACUUCUGGGGCAGGGGGGAGUAUUACAUCUGAAAGUGUCCCUUCUUGGGGGAGAUCACGUCGGGAGCUGUGCGCAAAUCCCACACGCUCUCCGGGUGAAAGCAUGGGGCCUCAUCGCACUUCACGGUCUCAGCUGCGGCUAGGGCAGAUUAGGUAGUUGGUGGGGUAAAAGCAUACCAAGGCGACGAUCUGUAGCUGGUCUGAGAGGAUGAUCAGCCACACUGGGACUGAGACACGGCCCAGACUCCUACGGGAGGCAGCAGUGGGGAAUUUUGGACAAUGGGCGCAAGCCUGAUCCAGCCAUGCCGCGUGCAGGAUGAAGGCCUUCGGGUUGUAAACUGCUUUUGUACGGAACGAAAAGCCUUCUUUUAAUACAGGAGGGUCAUGACGGUACCGUAAGAAUAAGCACCGGCUAACUACGUG
Molecule: ribosomal RNA, 484 nt
Filed under: uncultured bacterium
Lineage: Bacteria
Description: partial 16S ribosomal RNA
Rfam family: Bacterial small subunit ribosomal RNA
Source: RNAcentral